ACUCAAAUGAAUAGACGGGGGCUCACACAAGCGGUGGAGCAUGUGGCUUAAUUCGAGGCUACGCGCAAAACCUUAUCCCGGGCUUGACAUGCACGGAUUAGCCGGCGGAAACGUCGGCGAGGCCGCAAGGUACAACGUGCACAGGUGCUGCAUGGCUGUCGUCAGCUCGUGUCGUGAGAUGUUGGGUUCAGUCCCAUAACGAGCGCAACCCCUGUGGUCUGUUGCCAGCGGGUAAUGCCGGGGACUCAGGCCAGACUGCCGGCGUCAAGCCGGAGGAAGGCGGGGAUGACGUCAAGUCCUCAUGGCCCUUAUGCCCGGGGCUGCACACGUGCUACAAUGGGGCGGACAGAGCGAUGCGAACGUGCGAACGCGAGCCAAUCGCAAAAACCGCCCCUCAGUUCGGAUUGCGGGCUGCAACCCGCCCGCAUGAAGCUGGAAUCGCUAGUAAUCGCGGAUCAGCACUGCCGCGGUGAAUGUGUUCCUGAGCCUUGCACACACCGCCCGU
Molecule: ribosomal RNA, 505 nt
Filed under: uncultured bacterium
Lineage: Bacteria
Description: partial 16S ribosomal RNA
Rfam family: Bacterial small subunit ribosomal RNA
Source: RNAcentral